This 585-nucleotide ribosomal RNA is filed under the name uncultured bacterium. RNAcentral describes it as "bacterial SSU rRNA". It matches the Rfam family "Bacterial small subunit ribosomal RNA", at positions 102 to 683 of the family's 1533-position model. The record is from RNAcentral.
ACGGGUGAGUAAUACAUCGGAACGUGCCCAAGAGUGGGGGAUAACGGAGCGAAAGCUUUGCUAAUACCGCAUACGAUCUACGGAUGAAAGCAGGGGACCGCAAGGCCUUGCGCUCACGGAGCGGCCGAUGGCAGAUUAGGUAGUUGGUGGGAUAAAAGCUUACCAAGCCGACGAUCUGUAGCUGGUCUGAGAGGACGACCAGCCACACUGGGACUGAGACACGGCCCAGACUCCUACGGGAGGCAGCAGUGGGGAAUUUUGGACAAUGGGCGCAAGCCUGAUCCAGCCAUGCCGCGUGCAGGAUGAAGGCCUUCGGGUUGUAAACUGCUUUUGUACGGAACGAAAAGCCUCUUUCUAAUAAAGAGGGGUCAUGACGGUACCGUAAGAAUAAGCACCGGCUAACUACGUGCCAGCAGCCGCGGUAAUACGUAGGGUGCGAGCGUUAAUCGGAAUUACUGGGCGUAAAGCGUGCGCAGGCGGUAAUGUAAGACAGAUGUGAAAUCCCCGGGCUCAACCUGGGAACUGCAUUUGUGACUGCAUUGCUGGAGUGCGGCAGAGGGGGAUGGAAUUCCGCGUGUAGCAGUG